GAAGAAACGUCAAUGGAAGGACCCCAAGCGGGGUCGCACAGCAGGCAGGAGGGCAUGUAAGGAGAAGGAAUGACAUUGGACAAUCAGGGCAGCCAACAUUCUCACAACCCGAAGCUUGCGGGAAAGCAUGCAUGCAGCUGCUGUAAGACUACAGGGACCAUUGUGGCUUCAGUGCCUCCCCCCACUGUGAGUGUUAUGACCUCUAUACACAAGCACACACACACAAUUUGGCUAAAUUGUAAAUGCAGUAUGAUUGUGUGUUGCAGUUUUUACUAAGGUGACCACACACACACACACACACACACACACACACACACACACACACACACACACACACACACACACACACACACACACACACACACACACACACACACACACACACACACACACAC
This is a long non-coding RNA of Entelurus aequoreus (snake pipefish), 395 nucleotides long. RefSeq lists it as uncharacterized. The record is from RefSeq and is a predicted model, not a curated record. The transcript has 3 exons. Lineage: Eukaryota; Metazoa; Chordata; Actinopteri; Syngnathiformes; Syngnathidae.